AUGUGACGCUCAGAGGGCAGCUCCAUAGAGUUGACUCUUCCAGCGUAAGAGACCCCCGGACUAAACUCCAGUAGACGUCCUUGCUCCCCUUUUUAAAAUGUGAUGGUUAUUCUUGGGUAUUAAUUUGACCACAUCUAAAAUUAACUAAAACCCAAGUGACUGGACUUGCCUUGAUUGAAUCAUUAGAGGUGGGAAGAUCCAUCUGAAAUCUGGAUCUUUUGUGUGGGAAGAUCCACCAUAAAUCUGGGACUCACACCUUCUGCUGGCAGCCUACAUAAAUGUUAUGGGAGAAGGAAACUUUGGCUAUUUGCCUGCUUGCCCUUGCUCUCACUACAAGUUCAUUCCUUCACCGGCAUUGAAACCUACUUCUUUGGAAUUCAAACAUACACUGAAGACCAGCCUCCGCUUUCCCCACAAGCCUGAUGAAACGAAAUCACACCAGGAGAGAAGUUUCCAAUCAUAAGGUAAAGGUUAAGGCCAGCCGAAGAGACUGUCUUCAGUAGGAAGGGCUGUUACCCAUAUUAAACCUAAAGCAGGAAAGAAACAGACACUAUGAAGUUAGUAACUGUCGCUCAUUCAACGCUCUGACAUUGAGCAUGGCGG
Psammomys obesus (fat sand rat) is the source of this 603-nucleotide long non-coding RNA. RefSeq lists it as uncharacterized. NCBI's taxonomy places the organism in Eukaryota, Metazoa, Chordata, Mammalia, Rodentia, Muridae. The transcript has 4 exons. The record is from RefSeq and is a predicted model, not a curated record.